This 440-nucleotide ribosomal RNA is filed under the name uncultured bacterium. RNAcentral describes it as "bacterial SSU rRNA". It matches the Rfam family "Bacterial small subunit ribosomal RNA", at positions 33 to 507 of the family's 1533-position model. The record is from RNAcentral.
ACGCUGGCGGCAGGCUAACACAUGCAAGUCGAGCGAGAUCUUCGGAUCUAGCGGCGGACGGGUGAGUACGCGUGGGAACGUUACCUUUGCUACGGAAUAGCCCCGGGAAACUGGGAGUAAUACCGUAUGUGCCCCCCGAUGUAAGAAUUGGGGGGGAAAGAUUUAUCGGCAAAGGAUCGGCCCGCGUUGGAUUAGGUAGUUGGUGGGGUAAUGGCCUACCAAGCCGACGAUCCAUAGCUGGUUUGAGAGGAUGAUCAACCACACUGGGACUGAAACAAGGCCCAGACUUCCAUGGAGGGCAGCAGUGAGGAAUAUUGGACAAUGGGCGCAAGCUUGAUCCAGCAAUACCAAAUGAGUGAAGAAGGUUUUAAAUUGUAAAGCUCUUGCGUUAAGGAGGAUAAUGACGUGUACUUAAAGAAGAAGCCCUGGCUAACUUCGUG